AAAAAUGGCUAUGCUACCCUGAAGAAGCCCCAUCCUGUCUGAUCUCAGAAGCUAAGCAGGGUCGGGCCUGGUUAGUACUUGGAUGGGAGACCACCUAGGAAGACCAGGUGCUGUAGGUG
Molecule: ribosomal RNA, 119 nt
Filed under: Pteropus alecto (black flying fox)
Lineage: Eukaryota; Metazoa; Chordata; Mammalia; Chiroptera; Pteropodidae
Source: RNAcentral